RNAcentral lists this ribosomal RNA (119 nucleotides) under Pteropus alecto (black flying fox). The record is from RNAcentral. Lineage: Eukaryota; Metazoa; Chordata; Mammalia; Chiroptera; Pteropodidae.
GUCUACGGCCACGCCACCCUGAACAAGCCCGAUCCCGUCUGAUCUCAGAAGCUAAGCAGUGUCAGGCCUGGUUAGGACUUGCAUGGGAGACCACCUAGGAAGACCGGGUGCUGUAGGCG